AAAAAAGAAAAGAAAAGAAAAAAACACUCAAGACACAUUAUAUAUAAGUAAAAUAAUCCAUCAUUUUCUCCAAAUGCCACCCCUAACCAACCCCCUUCUACCACCACCACAUUAACAUAACCCACUUCCUCGCCAUCCACGUCGCCACCGCCAUCAGCUCCCAGAGCACAUCUCCAAGUGAUAAAAGAGGAGGGUGGAGAAAUCCAACUUUACUUGAGACUGCUGCGUCAAGGGUUCGAAUCCUGAAAUAUGGAUUUGGCUCUUGGGUAAGUGCAAGUGUACAAGCAACCUUCCAUCCUAUACUCUUGGAGGUAUAACCUGUGAUUUACCUCUCUCACGAUACUUUAGGGAAGGAGUGGUGGAGGACCCUUGAAGUUAGGGUUUAACCUUUUACGUCGCCACCACCAUCACCUUCCAUCAAACUCUCACCACCGUCAAUGUAGAGUCACAAAAUUGCAACCUCAAUCGAAUUCAAAUCUUUAACAAAGAUUUCCCUAGUAACCACAGUUCUUUUACUUGUUAACUGUUGGUUGUGCAGUAAUCUGUAGAAGAAAGUUGAAAAAAAAUAAUAAAAAAAAUGAUACGGAUGAAGCAAAAAUUGUUUUGAAAAUAGGUUUUUGAAAUUACGG
RNAcentral lists this long non-coding RNA (629 nucleotides) under Olea europaea subsp. europaea. The record is from RNAcentral. Lineage: Eukaryota; Viridiplantae; Streptophyta; Magnoliopsida; Lamiales; Oleaceae.